UCAAGGCUGCCACGGGAUGCUGUCAGU
This 27-nucleotide non-coding RNA is filed under the name Mus musculus (house mouse). Lineage: Eukaryota; Metazoa; Chordata; Mammalia; Rodentia; Muridae. The record is from RNAcentral.